UAUCUCUUUUCCUUUUCCCCCCUCUAUUUCUCCAUCUCCCCCACCCUCUGCAACUCGCAUUUGUUAUUCUUUUGUCUUGAGACUCCCAAGCGAUUCUGGGUAGGCUUCAAAAGCUAAAACCAGUUUUAGCAAAGCUAUCAAUUUUUUUGUGAAGAACUUCGAACCCACAUCCACAGCUCUGCUCAAAUCCCCGAACUUUGCACUACACGGUGCCCCAAUCCCUAAAAUUUUUGUCUCCCAUCCACCGGAUCCCAUUUCAAUGUAGUAGUAGAUGCAUUCCGCAGGAUCCCCAAGGCCACUUGGAAUGCGAAAGAAAGGUUAUGGAUUUUUCCAGCAUCUUACAUUGUCGUUGGUGGAGAAACAACUAAAUAUCUGGUGCUAAAGUUCAGGUGAUAACUUGUGUCCUUUCCAUAAUUUUUACUGCGUCUAAGAAUUCCUUUGAAUUCAGUUAUUGCCCACGAGCUUGGCCAAGAUUUAGCAUUUCCUAUUGAAUUAAUUUAUACUGUGUGUGUGCCAUUUUUCUAAUGUACAAUCUUUUUAAAUUGCUUUUCAUCAUUUUUGUUUUCUGAGAAAACUUUAUGGGUAGAGAACUUAGAUCCCUUGGUUCACUGUGCCAUUGCUGCGGCUCUUGCUGUUCCUGAUCUCAAGACCAAUAUGACAGAAUACCCACUAGUAUGGAAUCAAAGCUCUUGCCAUUUCAGCGAGAAGGUGUUAGGUUUAUAUUGCAACAUGGAGGGUGUGCUCUUCUUGCUGAUGAGAUGGGACUAGGAAAGACUUUAAAGGCUAUUGCUGUAGCUUCAUGCAUUCAUGAUUCGUGGCCUGUUCUUAUAAUGACACCAUCUUCAUUGCGUUUACAAUGGGCUUCUGUAAGUGCUUUAUCAAUUUUUAUUUUAGUUAUUAUGAAGGUAGAUUUAACCUAAUGUGCAUGUAUUUAAUCGUUCUUGUAGAUGAUUGAACAAUGGCUUGACAUUCCUCCAUAUGAUAUUCUUGUAAUUCUAGUCACUUGUUUAUUUAGCCGGAUUAUUUACAGAUUCUUGUAGCUUUGAUACCUUUUCUAAAUAGGAACUUGAAAAGAUUAAACUAAAUCUUAACUUUGACCCUAACAAGUUGCUCUGACUAAGUUGUUUUGUCUCAAUGUGGGGGACCAAAUGGAGGUGGAUUCAUAAUAGUGUCCUCAAACUCCAAUGGAACCAUUCAUCUCGAUGGCCUGUUUGAUAUCAUCUCAUAUGAUGUGGUCCCUAAAUUGCAGAAUUUACUAAUGGCAUCAGACUUUAAGGCAGUGAAACAAAAGUCAUCGAAACCGACGAGAAAUCGGUGAUAAUUUCGGUUGUUGGCCAUCGUCGAUACCGAUGGGGGGGAAAAAGUUUGUGUUAGGAGUGCUGCCGAUUUGUCACUGGAAUCGAAGGAAAUCGUCGGAAUUUUCAAAAAUCAGUGGAAAUUUUCUUCUGUUGGUGGAAAAAGCCGGUCAAGAACUGGUGUGUGUGUGUGUGUGUUUGUGUGUUGUGAUCGAAAGGGAAAGAGAGCUGAAGGGAGGAGAAAGGAAAAGUGGACAGCCAGCCCGAGAGGAGGGAAAGAGAGGUGAAGGGAGGAAGACACGGGAAUUUUUUUGGUUUUUUUGUUUUUUUUUGUUUUUUUGGUUGUUAAAAAUGUAGUUGUUUAUUAAUUAAGAGACCAGAGUAUAAAUGUCAGCUCGAAGGAUAUUACUUA
Molecule: RNA transcript, 1707 nt
Organism: Ziziphus jujuba (common jujube)
Lineage: Eukaryota; Viridiplantae; Streptophyta; Magnoliopsida; Rosales; Rhamnaceae
Exons: 7
Source: RefSeq, a predicted model, not a curated record